This 3212-nucleotide long non-coding RNA is filed under the name Salmo salar (Atlantic salmon). RNAcentral describes it as "lncRNA (ENSSSAG00000116869.1)". Lineage: Eukaryota; Metazoa; Chordata; Actinopteri; Salmoniformes; Salmonidae. The record is from RNAcentral.
GGUAACCCAGAUAAUGACCCGCCCAGCGCGUUCUGAUACAUGACCACUCGGGAGAUAUGGGGCUGUUGAUUGCUUUAUUAUUAAUAAUAAACUCAGGAACCAAACACACCUGUGUGGAAGCACCUGCUUUUAUCAACAUACUGCAUAUCUCUCGUUCGACUAGGAAGUGUUUCCUGUUAUUCUGGCAGUUACCUGCAGACGCUACGUAGAAAGGUAAAUACAUACGGAAGCUUCCCGGAACAACGACUAUAAAACUAUAUUAUAUAUUGAUAAUGAUGCUAGCAUUUUAUCAGGAAAGUUGAGACUGUAUCAUAUGUUGGGGUUCGGCAGGGUAGGCUAGUGGUUAGAGCAGGUAGCCUAGUGGUUAGAGCAGGUAGCCUAGUGGUUAGAGCAGGUAGCCUAGUGGUUACAGCAGGUAGCCUUGUGGUUAGAGCAGGUAGCCUAGUGGUUAGAGCAGGUAUACUAGUGGUUAGAGGCAGGUCGCCUUGUGGUUAGAGCAGGUAGCCUAGUGGUUAGAGCAGGUAGCCUAGUGGUUAGAGCAGGUAGCCUAGUGGUUAGAGCAGGUAGCCUAGUGGUUACAGCAGGUAGCCUUGUGGUUAGAGCAGGUAGCCUAGUGGUUAGAGCAGGUAUCCUAGUGGUUAGAGGCAGGUAGCCUAGUGGUUAGAGCAGGUAGCCUAGUGGUUAGAGCAGGUAGCCUAGUGGUUACAGAAGGUAGCCUUGUGGUUAGAGCAGGUAGCCUAGUGGUUAGAGCAGGUAUCCUAGUGGUUAGAGGCAGGUAGCCUUGUGGUUAGAGCAGGUAGCCUAGUGGUUAGAGCAGGUAGCCUAGUGGUUAGAGCAGGUAGCCUAGUGGUUAGAGCAGGUAGCCUAGUGGUUAGAGCAGGUAGCAUAGUGGUUAGAGCAGGUAGCCUAGUGGUUACAGCAGGUAGCCUAGUGGUUAGAGCAGGUAUCCUAGUGGUUAGAGGCAGGUAGCCUUGUGGUUAGAGCAGGUAGCCUAGUGGUUAGAGCAGGUAUCCUAGUGGUUAGAGGCAGGUAGCCUAGUGGUUAGAGCAGGUAGCCUAGUGGUUAGAGCAGGUAGCCUAGUGGUUACAGCAGGUAGCCUUGUGGUUAGAGAAGGUAGCCUAGUGGUUAGAGCAGGUAGCCUAGUGGUUAGAGCAGGUAGCCUAGUGGUUAGAGCAGGUAGCCUAGUGGUUAGAGCAGGUAGCCUAGUGGUUACAACAGGUAGCCUUGUGGUUAGAGCAGGUAGCCUUGUGGUUAGAGCAGGUAGCCUAGUGGUUAGAGCAGGUAUCCUAGUGGUUAGAGCAGGUAGCCUAGUGGUUAGAGCAGGUAGCCUAGUGGUUAGAGCAGGUAGCCUAGUGGUUAGAGCAGGUAGCCUAGUGGUUACAACAGGUAGCCUUGUGGUUAGAGCAGGUAGCCUAGUGGUUAGAGCAGGUAUCCUAGUGGUUAGAGGCAGGUGCCUUGUGGUUAGAGCAGGUAGCCUAGUGGUUAGAGCAGGUAGCCUAGUGGUUAGAGCAGGUAUCCUAGUGGUUAGAGGCAGGUGCCUUGUGGUUAGAGCAGGUAGCCUAGUGGUUAGAGCAGGUAGCCUAGUGGUUAGAGCAGGUAUCCUAGUGGUUAGAGGCAGGUAGCCUAGUGGUUAGAGCAGGUAGCCUAGUGGUUAGAGGCAGGUAGCCUAGUGGUUAGAGCAGGUAGCCUAGUGGUUAGAGACAGGUAGCCUGUUGGUUAGAGCAGGUAUCCUAGUGGUUAGAGGCAGGUAGCCUAGUGGUUGGAGCAGGUAUCCUAGUGGUUAGAGGCAGGUAGCCUAGUGGUUAGAGCAGGUAUCCUAGUGGUUAGAGGCAGGUAGCCUAGUGGUUAGAGGCAGGUAGCCUUGUGGUUAGAGCAGGUAGCCUAGUGGUUAGAGCAGGUAUCCUAGUGGUUAGAGGCAGGUAGCCUAGUGGUUAGAGCAGGUAGCCUAGUGGUUAGAGGCAGGUAGCCUAGUGGUUAGAGGCAGGUAGCCUAGUGGUUAGAGCAGGUAGCCUAGUGGUUAGAGCAGGUAGCCUAGUGGUUAGAGCAGGUAGCCUUGUGGUUAGAGCAGGUAGCCUAGUGGUUAGAGCAGGUAUCCUAGUGGUUAGAGGCAGGUAGCCUAGUGGUUAGAGCAGGUAUCCUAGUGGUUAGAGGCAGGUGCCUUGUGGUUAGAGCAGGUAGCCUAGUGGUUAGAGCAGGUAGCCUAGUGGUUAGAGCAGAUAUCCUAGUGGUUAGAGGCAGGUAGCCUAGUGGUUAGAGGCAGGUAGGCUAGUGGUUAGAGCAGGUAGCCUAGUGGUUAGAGGCAGGUAGCCUAGUGGUUAGAGCAGGUAGCCUAGUGGUUAGAGGCAGGUAGCCUGUUGGUUAGAGCAGGUAUCCUAGUGGUUAGAGGCAGGUAGCCUAGUGGUUAGAGCAGGUAGCCUGUUGGUUAGAGCAGGUAUCCUAGUGGUUAGAGGCAGGUAGCCUAGUGGUUAGAGCAGGUAGCCUGUUGGUUAGAGCAGGUAUCCUAGUGGUUAGAGGCAGGUAGCCUAGUGGUUAGAGCUUUGUGCCAGUAACCAAAAUGUUUGCCCAAUCGAAUCCCCGAGCUGACAAGGUGUAAAAAUCUGUCGUUCUGCCCCUGAACAAGGCAGUUAACCCCACUGUUACCCCGGGUACUACGUCACUGUAAAUAAGAAUUUGUUCUUAACUGACUUCCCUAGUUAAAUAAAAAUAUAUAUUAAAAAAAAAAUUUAAUUAAAUGAUGCUGAUAGGAUUUCAUAUAAAAUACUAAUGUUCUAUAAUCUGAUAUAUUGAUGAUUAAUAAGAGAUGAUAUGUAGCUGGGACUUCAGAAGACAACGACACUAUGGAACAACGAAGAGAUGGUUGGUCUGAGCUCCACACAUUAAUAACCUAUGUUUUAAGGUUGAACAGACGUUGGUAUUCCACCCAUGUUUUAAGGUUGAACAGACGUUGGUAUUCCAUGUUUUAAGGUUGAACAGAUGGUGGUUUGACGUUGGUAUUCCACCCAUGUUUUAAGGUUGAACAGAUGGUGGUUUGACGUUGGUAUUCCACCCAUGUUUUAAGGUUGAACAAACAUUGGAUUGAUGUUGGUAUUCCACCCAUGUUUUAAAGGAGAACAGACGUUGGUAUUCCACCCAUGUUUUAAAGGAGAACAGACGUUGGUAUUCCACCCAUGCUCCACCAAGGUAUUCCAGCUCACAGCUUUGACCCACUACAG